CGCAGCGGAGACGUGAUUGAUCGACU
This 26-nucleotide non-coding RNA is filed under the name Cricetulus griseus (Chinese hamster). Lineage: Eukaryota; Metazoa; Chordata; Mammalia; Rodentia; Cricetidae. The record is from RNAcentral.